GAUGAACGCUGGCGGCGUGCCUAAUACAUGCAAGUCGAGUGAAUGGAUUAAGAGCUUGCUCUUAUGAAGUUAGCGGCGGACGGGUGAGUAACACGUGGGUAACCUGCCCAUAAGACUGGGAUAACUCCGGGAAACCGGGGCUAAUACCGGAUAACAUUUUGAACCGCAUGGUUCGAAAUUGAAAGGCGGCUUCGGCUGUCACUUAUGGAUGGACCCGCGUCGCAUUAGCUAGUUGGUGAGGUAACGGCUCACCAAGGCAACGAUGCGUAGCCGACCUGGGAGGGUGAUCGGCCACACUGGGACUGAGACACGGCCCAGACUCCUACGGGAGGCAGCAGUAGGGAAUCUUCCGCAAUGGACGAAAGUCUGACGGAGCAACGCCGCGUGAGUGAUGAAGGCUUUCGGGUCGUAAAACUCUGUUGUUAGGGAAGAACAAGUGCUAGUUGAAUAAGCUGGCACCUUGACGGUACCUAACCAGAAAGCCACGGCUAACUACGCGCCAGCCGCCGCAGUAA
This 515-nucleotide ribosomal RNA is filed under the name uncultured bacterium. RNAcentral's name for it is "partial 16S ribosomal RNA". It matches the Rfam family "Bacterial small subunit ribosomal RNA", at positions 28 to 523 of the family's 1533-position model. The record is from RNAcentral.